GAUGAACGCUGGCGGCGUGCCUAAUACAUGCAAGUCGAGCGAACAGACGAGUAUCUUGCUCCUCUUACGUUAGCGGCGGAAGGGUGAGUAACACGUGGAUAACCUAUCUCUAAGACUGGGAUAACUUCCGGAAACCGCAGCUAAAAUCCGAUAAUAUAUUGAACCGUAUGGUUCCAUAGUUAUAGAAGCUUUUGCUGUCACUUAUGGAUGUACCCGCGCCGCAUUAGCUAGUUGGUAAGGUAACGCCUUACCAAGGCAACGUUGCGUAGCCGACCUGAGAGGGUGAUCGGCCACACUGGAACUGAGACACGGUACAGACUCGUACGGGAGGCAGCGGUAGAGAAUCUUCCACAAUGGACGAAAGCCUAACGUAGCAACGCCGCGUGAGUGAUGAAGGUCUUCGGAUCGUAAAACUAUGUUAUUAUGGAAGAACAAAUGUGUAAGUAACUAUGCACGUCUUGACGGUACCUAAUCAGAAAGCCACGGCUAACUACGUG
Molecule: ribosomal RNA, 497 nt
Filed under: uncultured bacterium
Lineage: Bacteria
Description: partial 16S ribosomal RNA
Rfam family: Bacterial small subunit ribosomal RNA
Source: RNAcentral